Non-coding RNA from Burkholderia sp. A9, 92 nucleotides. Lineage: Bacteria; Pseudomonadati; Pseudomonadota; Betaproteobacteria; Burkholderiales; Burkholderiaceae. The record is from Rfam.
AUCAAUGGGUGGGCCUGGGCGGGGAGACCUUCGGGUCUGCCGGUAUCCACAGACGCCGGUUCGCCAACCCCGUUCAGUGCCCGCCCACCCCA